GGACCUGUAGCUCAGCGGUCAGAGCAGGAGACUCAUAAUCUCUUGGUCGCAGGUUCAAAUCCUGCCGGGUCCACCA
This 76-nucleotide transfer RNA is filed under the name Flavobacteriaceae bacterium TMED42. RNAcentral's name for it is "tRNA-Met". It matches the Rfam family "tRNA". Rfam says of the family: Transfer RNA (tRNA) molecules are approximately 80 nucleotides in length. Their secondary structure includes four short double-helical elements and three loops (D, anti-codon, and T loops). The record is from RNAcentral. Lineage: Bacteria; Pseudomonadati; Bacteroidota; Flavobacteriia; Flavobacteriales; Flavobacteriaceae.